Collinsella stercoris DSM 13279 is the source of this 148-nucleotide regulatory RNA element. It matches the Rfam family "FMN riboswitch aptamer (RFN element)". Rfam says of the family: The RFN element is a highly conserved domain that is found frequently in the 5'-untranslated regions of prokaryotic mRNAs that encode for flavin mononucleotide (FMN) biosynthesis and transport proteins. This element is a metabolite-dependent riboswitch that directly binds FMN in the absence of proteins. The record is from Rfam. NCBI's taxonomy places the organism in Bacteria, Bacillati, Actinomycetota, Coriobacteriia, Coriobacteriales, Coriobacteriaceae.
AUAUUGUUUCAGGGCGGGGCGCAAUUCCCCACCGGCGGUAAAUGCAAACGCAACCCGCGUUGCGCGCAUGAGCCCGCGAGCCGCGCACAGCGGUUGACCUGGUGAGAUUCCGGGGCCGACGGUAUAGUCCGGAUGAGAGAAACGAGGU